UCAAGUGACGAAGCGCAUACGGUGGAUGCCUAGGCGGUAGGAGGCGAUGAAGGACGUGGUAGCCUGCGAAAAGCCUCGGGGAGCUGGCAAACAAGCAUUGAUCCGGGGGUAUCCGAAUGGGAAAACCCACCCCUCACCUAGAAGCUUUUGGGCGUAGAGGCCUGAGAGGGGAAGCGCGAAGAGCUUCUAGGUGAGGGGUAUCGCACACUGAAUCCAUAGGUGUGCGAGGCUAACCCGGGGAACUGAAACAUCUAAGUACCCGGAGGAAAAGAAAUCAACCGAGAUUCCCUUAGUAGCGGCGAGCGAACCGGGAGCAGCCCUUAAGUCCCGUUACUUUUAGUAGAACAGUCUGGAAAGUCUGGCCACAGAAGGUGAUAGCCCUGUAUACGAAAAAAGUAGCGGGAUGAAAUCGAGUAAGGCGGGACACGUGAUAUCCUGUCUGAACAUGGGGGGACCAUCCUCCAAGGCUAAAUACUCCCUACCGACCGAUAGUGAACCAGUACCGUGAGGGAAAGGCGAAAAGAACCCCGUAGAGGGGAGUGAAAUAGAACCUGAAACCGUAUGCGUACAAACAGUCGGAGCCCCUCACCUAGAUGGUAUUCUGCUGGAGAAUACAACACAGACAUUGAGGUGAAACAACCUUAAGUGAGCACAGUAAUGAGUGAGUGCCAUCUAGGUGAGGGGUGACGGCGUACCUUUUGUAUAAUGGGUCAGCGACUUACUUCUCAGUGGCAAGCUUAACCGAUUAGGGGAGGCGUAGCGAAAGCGAGUCUUAAAUGGGCGCCACAGUCGCUGGGAGUAGACCCGAAACCGGGCGAUCUAUCCAUGGCCAGGGUGAAGGCGCGGUAACACGCGCUGGAGGCCCGAACCGGGUAAUGUUGAAAAAUUAUCGGAUGAGCUGUGGAUCGGAGUGAAAGGCUAAUCAAGCCCGGAGAUAGCUGGUUCUCCCCGAAAGCUAUUUAGGUAGCGCCUCGUGUCUCACUCUCGGGGGUAGAGCACUGUUUCGGCUAGGGGGCCAUCCCGGCUUACCAAACCGAUGCAAACUCCGAAUACCGAGAAGUGCAAUCACGGGAGACACACGGCGGGUGCUAACGUCCGUCGUGGAAAGGGAAACAACCCAGACCGCCAGCUAAGGUCCCUAAAUCACAACUCAGUGGGAAACGAUGUGGGAAGGCCCAGACAGCCAGGAGGUUGGCUUAGAAGCAGCCAUCCUUUAAAGAAAGCGUAAUAGCUCACUGGUCAAGUCGGCCUGCGCGGAAGAUUCAACGGGGCUUAAGUUGUGUACCGAAGCUGCGGAUGCCCGAUCCUCGGAUCGGUGCAUGGUAGGGGAGCGUUCCGUAAGCCUGCGAAGGCGGAUCGAGAGGUCCGCUGGAGGUAUCGGAAGUGCGAAUGCUGACAUGAGUAACGAUAAAGGGGGUGAAAGGCCCCCUCGCCGAAAGCCCAAGGUUUCCUGCGCGACGCUAAUCGACGCAGGGUUAGUCGGCCCCUAAGGCGAGGCCGAAAGGCGUAGUCGAUGGGAAGCAGGUUAAUAUUCCUGCACCAUUCAUUACUGCGAUGGGGGGACGAAGAAGGCUAGGUCAGCCAGCUGUUGGUUGCUGGUUUAAGCGUGUAGGGAGUCACCUUAGGAAAAUCCAGGGUGGCAAUUCCAAGGCGUGACGACGAGUCUCUACGGAGAUGAAGUGAUUGAUGCCAGGCUUCCAGGAAAAGCCUCUAAGCUUCAGGUAAUGAGUGACCGUACUCCAAACCGACACAGGUGGGCAGGGUGAGAAUCCCAAGGCGCUUGAGAGAACUCUGGUGAAGGAACUAGGCAAAAUAGUACCGUAACUUCGGGAGAAGGUACGCCCCCGGUACGUGAAGGCCCUGCGGCCGGAGCGGAAAGGGGUUGCAGUGACCAGGUGGCUGCGACUGUUUACUAAAAACAUAGCACUCUGCAAACUCGAAAGAGGACGUAUAGGGUGUGACGCCUGCCCGGUGCCGGAAGGUUAAGUGAUGGGGUUACCCCUCACCUAGAUCAUCUAGCAAGCCGCAUGUUCUAUAUCUAUGUGCUUUACAGUGAGCGAUUUGACGAGUUUUAUCUUGGAUCGACGCGUGAUCUGAGAAGGCGAGUUGAAGCGCAUCGAUCUGGGAUGAACAGAUCGACACGAAAGGCAGAUGAUUGGAUAGUUUCCUAUUAUGAAGUCUAUCUGACAGAACAGGCGGCAAGCGAGCGAGAAGCGAACUUGAAGCGAAGUGGCAAAGCGUAUCACAGCUUAAAGGUGCGCAUACGCAGAAGCUUAGAUGCUCUAGGUGAGGGGGAAGCUCUUGACCGAAGCCCCGGUAAACGGCGGCCGUAACUAUAACGGUCCUAAGGUAGCGAAAUUCCUUGUCGGGUAAGUUCCGACCUGCACGAAUGGCGUAACGAUGGCCACGCUGUCUCCACCAGAGACUCAGUGAAAUUGAAAUCUCGGUCAAGAUGCCGAGUACCCGCGGCUAGACGGAAAGACCCCGUGAACCUUUACUACAGCUUCACACGGGACUUUGAACCUACUUGUGUAGGAUAGGUGGGAGGCUUUGAAGCGGUGACGCCAGUUGCCGUGGAGCCAUCCUUGAAAUACCACCCUGGUAUGUUUGGAGUUCUAACCUCGGUCCGUGAUCCGGAUCAGGGACAGUGUGUGGUGGGUAGUUUGACUGGGGCGGUCUCCUCCCAAAGCGUAACGGAGGAGCACGAAGGUACCCUCAGCGCGGUCGGAAAUCGCGCACUGAGUGCAAAGGCAAAAGGGUGCUUGACUGCGAGACAGACAAGUCGAGCAGGUGCGAAAGCAGGUCUUAGUGAUCCGGUGGUUCUGUAUGGAAGGGCCAUCGCUCAACGGAUAAAAGGUACUCCGGGGAUAACAGGCUGAUACCGCCCAAGAGUUCAUAUCGACGGCGGUGUUUGGCACCUCGAUGUCGGCUCAUCACAUCCUGGGGCUGAAGUCGGUCCCAAGGGUAUGGCUGUUCGCCAUUUAAAGUGGUACGCGAGCUGGGUUUAGAACGUCGUGAGACAGUUCGGUCCCUAUCUGCCGUGGGCGUUCGAGACUUGAGGGAAGCUGCUCCUAGUACGAGAGGACCGGAGUGGACGUACCUCUGGUGUUCCGGUUGUCACGCCAGUGGCACUGCCGGGUAGCUAUGUACGGACGGGAUAACCGCUGAAAGCAUCUAAGCGGGAAGCCCCUCCCAAGAUAAGGUCUCGCUGGACCCUUGAGGUCCCUGAAGGUCCGUCGAAGACGACGACGUUGAUAGGCGGGAUGUGGAAGCACGGUAACGUGUGAAGCUAACCCGUACUAAUUGACCGUGCGGCUUGACCAU
This is a ribosomal RNA of 3324 nucleotides. It matches the Rfam family "Bacterial large subunit ribosomal RNA".